GAUGAACGCUGGCGGCGUGCCUAAUACAUGCAAGUCGAGCGAACAGAUGAGAAGCUUGCUUCUCUGAUGUUAGCGGCGGACGGGUGAGUAACACGUGGGUAACCUACCUAUAAGACUGGGAUAACUCCGGGAAACCGGGGCUAAUACCGGAUAAUAUUUUGAACCGCAUGGUUCAAUAGUGAAAGACGGUUUCGGCUGUCACUUAUAGAUGGACCCGCGCCGUAUUAGCUAGUUGGUAAGGUAACGGCUUACCAAGGCGACGAUACGUAGCCGACCUGAGAGGGUGCUCGGCCACACUGGAACUGAGACACGGUCCAGACUCCUACGGGAGGCAGCAGUAGGGAAUCUUCCGCAACGGGCGAAAGCCUGACGGAGCAACGCCGCGUGAGUGAUGAAGGUCUUCGGAUCGUAAAACUCUGUUGUUAGGGAAGAACAAAUUUGUUAGUAACUGAACAAGUCUUGACGGUACCUAACCAGAAAGCCACGGCUAACUACGUGCCAGCAGCCGCAGUAA
Molecule: ribosomal RNA, 514 nt
Filed under: uncultured bacterium
Lineage: Bacteria
Description: partial 16S ribosomal RNA
Rfam family: Bacterial small subunit ribosomal RNA
Source: RNAcentral